This 751-nucleotide ribosomal RNA is filed under the name uncultured bacterium. Its description in RNAcentral is "bacterial SSU rRNA". It matches the Rfam family "Bacterial small subunit ribosomal RNA", at positions 90 to 844 of the family's 1533-position model. The record is from RNAcentral.
AGAGACCGGCGCACGGGUGCGUAACGCGUAUGCAAUCUACCUUUUACAGGGGAAUAGCCCAGAGAAAUUUGGAUUAAUGCCCCAUAGUAUAAUUGAAUGGCAUCAUUUAAUUAUUAAAGUCACAACGGUAAAAGAUGAGCAUGCGUCCCAUUAGUUAGUUGGUAAGGUAACGGCUUACCAAGACAAUGAUGGGUAGGGGUCCUGAGAGGGAGAUCCCCCACACUGGUACUGAGACACGGACCAGACUCCUACGGGAGGCAGCAGUGAGGAAUAUUGGACAAUGGGCGCAAGCCUGAUCCAGCCAUGCCGCGUGCAGGAAGACGGUCCUAUGGAUUGUAAACUGCUUUUAUACAGGAAGAAACACUCCGACGUGUCGGAGCUUGACGGUACUGUAGGAAUAAGGAUCGGCUAACUCCGUGCCAGCAGCCGCGGUAAUACGGAGGAUCCAAGCGUUAUCCGGAAUCAUUGGGUUUAAAGGGUCCGUAGGCGGUUUAAUAAGUCAGUGGUGAAAUCUGGUCGCUCAACGAUCAAACGGCCAUUGAUACUGUUAGACUUGAAUUAUAAGGAAGUAACUAGAAUAUGUAGUGUAGCGGUGAAAUGCUUAGAUAUUACAUGGAAUACCAAUUGCGAAGGCAGGUUACUACUUAUGGAUUGACGCUGAUGGACGAAAGCGUGGGGAGCGAACAGGAUUAGAUACCCUGGUAGUCCACGCCGUAAACGAUGGAUACUAGCUGUUGGGCGCAAGUUCAGU